AGUGAACGCUGGCGGUAGGCCUAACACAUGCAAGUCGAACGGCAGCACAGUAAGAGCUUGCUCUUACGGGUGGCGAGUGGCGGACGGGUGAGGAAUACAUCGGAAUCUACUUUUUAGUGGGGGAUAACGUAGGGAAACUUACGCUAAUACCGCAUACGACCUACGGGUGAAAGCAGGGGAUCUUCGGACCUUGCGCGAAUGAAUGAGCCGAUGUCGGAUUAGCUAGUUGGCGGGGUAAAGGCCCACCAAGGCGACGAUCCGUAGCUGGUCUGAGAGGAUGAUCAGCCACACUGGAACUGAGACACGGUCCAGACUCCUACGGUAGGCAGCAGUGGGGAAUAUUGGACAAUGGGCGCAAGCCUGAUCCAGCCAUACCGCGUGGGUGAAGAAGGCCUUCGGGUUGUAAAGCCCUUUUGUUGGGAAAGAAAAGCAGCAGGUUAAUACCCCGCUGUUCUGACGGUACCCAAAGAAUAAGCACCGGCUAACUUCGUG
Molecule: ribosomal RNA, 492 nt
Filed under: uncultured bacterium
Lineage: Bacteria
Description: partial 16S ribosomal RNA
Rfam family: Bacterial small subunit ribosomal RNA
Source: RNAcentral